ACCCUAAUGGCUGCAGAGAAGGGAUUAAACUUAGACUCCAUUAACUGCCUGUAGUUAGAAGCAUUCUGUUUCUCUGGAUGUAUUAUGCUGUGAGAGCUGGGCCACUGGGGGUCGAGAGUGGAUUGCCCCUGGUGGACAAUGAGGUUGAGCAGAAACAAUACUGAGUCUUGGAAAUACACUAUUUUGAUGAAUGCCAUCUACUGUAAAUGAGACAUCUGUAUUUGCUUUCUCUGUUGUCAGCAUCUCAACACUCAGUGUGAACUCUGCCAUGGCAAACUGUUGGAAUAAGUUAUUUCUAGUCUGCAAUGAGUACUUCUGUCACAUUGUUAUU
Non-coding RNA from Sturnus vulgaris (Common starling), 331 nucleotides. The record is from RefSeq and is a predicted model, not a curated record. NCBI's taxonomy places the organism in Eukaryota, Metazoa, Chordata, Aves, Passeriformes, Sturnidae.